Molecule: ribosomal RNA, 1264 nt
Filed under: Burkholderia sp.
Lineage: Bacteria; Pseudomonadati; Pseudomonadota; Betaproteobacteria; Burkholderiales; Burkholderiaceae
Description: partial 16S ribosomal RNA
Rfam family: Bacterial small subunit ribosomal RNA
Source: RNAcentral
CCGUGCGGCUGCUACAAUGCAGUCGAGCGGCAGCACGGGUGCUUGGCCUGGUGGCGAGUGGCGAACGGGUGAAAAUACAUCGGAACAUGUCCUGUUUUGGGGGAUAGCCCGGCGAAGGCCGGAUUGAUACCGCAUACGAUCUACGGAUGAAAGCGGGGGACCUUCGGGCCUCGCGCUUUAGGGUUGGCCGAUGGAUGAUUAGCUAGUUGGUGGGGUAAAGGCCUACCAGGGUCACCAUCGCUAUCUGGUCUGACAGAACUACCAGCCUGAUUGGGACUGAUACACGGCCCACACUCCUACGGGAGGCACCAGUGGGGAAUUUUGGAAAUGGGCGAAAGCCUGAUCCAUCAAUGCCGCGUGUGUGAAGAAGGCCUUCGGGUUGUAAAGCACUUUUGUCCGGAAAGAAAUCCUUGGCCCUAAUACGAUCGUGGGAUGACGGUACCGGACGAAUACUACCCGGCUAACUACGUGCCACCACCCGCGGUAAUACGUAGGGUGCCAGCGUUAAUCAGAAUUACUGGGAUUUAUUGGUGCGCAAGCGGUUUGCUGAGACUUAUUUGAAAUCCCCGGGCUCGACCUGGGAACUGCAUUGGUGACUGGCAAGCUAGAGUAAGGCAAAUGGGGGUAAAAUUACUCGUGUUCCAUGUGUAUGCGUAAAGAUGUGAAAGAAUACCAAUAGCACCGGCGGCCCCCUGGGCUCUUACUGACGCUCAUGCACCAGAGCCUGGGGAGCAUGCAGGAUUAAAUACCCUGGUUAUCCACGCCCUCCACGAUGUCAACUAUUUGUGCUAGAUGCAUUUCCUUAUUAACGUAGCUGUAUCCGUGAAGAUGACCGCCUGGCGAGUACUGUCGCGUGAUAAAGACUCGAAGGAACUGACGGGAACCCACACAAGCCCUGGAUGAUGUGGAUUAAUUCGAUGCAACUCGAAACACCUUACAUACCCUUGACAUGUCCUGACUCACUGCUGAGAGGUGGGAGUGCUCGGAAGUUCAUUCGGCGACACAGGGUGCUGCGUGGCUGCUCUGUCUGCUCGUCGUCGUCGAGAUGUUGGGAUGAUGUCCCUGCAAUCACGCGCAACACCUUGGUCCCUCAGAUGCUACGCAGCAGUCACUCAAUGGAGACCGUCUGAUGACGACUCGCGGAGGAUGAAUGCGAUGACGGUCAGGUCCUGCACUGUCCAAUCAUGCGGUACGGCUUACGACGUGCGAUAUACUCACCUCGCAUACAAAUGGGAAUGGCCUCAACACCCGAGCGUGCGGGGGA